UUUUUUGGAGAGUUUGAUUCUGGCUCAGAACGAACGUUGGCGGCGUGGUUAAGGCAUGCAAGUCGAACGAUCUUAUUAAAUCUUGAGGCCGUAAGGCCGAGGGAUUUGAUUUGAUAGCGGCAAAAGGGUGAGGAAUACGUGGGUAAUCUACCUUCGGGUCCGGGAUAGCAUUCCGAAAGGAAUGAUAAUACCGGAUAAGACCACGGCUCCGCAUGGAGCUGCGGUAAAAGAUGGGGACCGUAAGGCCUAUCGU
This 253-nucleotide ribosomal RNA is filed under the name Candidatus Omnitrophica bacterium CG_4_9_14_0_2_um_filter_43_12. Its description in RNAcentral is "partial 16S ribosomal RNA". It matches the Rfam family "Bacterial small subunit ribosomal RNA", at positions 1 to 218 of the family's 1533-position model. The record is from RNAcentral. Lineage: Bacteria; Pseudomonadati; Candidatus Omnitrophota.